Molecule: ribosomal RNA, 420 nt
Filed under: uncultured bacterium
Lineage: Bacteria
Description: bacterial SSU rRNA
Rfam family: Bacterial small subunit ribosomal RNA
Source: RNAcentral
UGGGGAAUCUUGCGCAAUGGCCUAACGGCUGACGCAGCGACGCCGCGUGUGGGAGGACGCCUUUCGGGGUGUAAACCACUGUUGCCCGGGACGAACAGCUUCUUUCGAGGAGCCUGACGGUACCGGGUGAGGAAGCACCGGCUAACUCCGUGCCAGCAGCCGCGGUAAUACGGAGGGUGCGAGCGUUGUCCGGAAUCAUUGGGCGUAAAGGGCGCGUAGGUGGCGGGAGAAGCGUGCGGUGAAAGCUCGGGGCUCAACCCCGAGUCUGCCGUGCGAACUCUCUUGCUUGAGCACUGUAGAGGCAGGCGGAAUUCCGGGUGUAGCGGUGGAAUGCGUAGAGAUCCGGAAGAACACCGGUGGCGAAGGCGGCCUGCUGGGCAGUUGCUGACACUGAGGCGCGACAGCGUGGGGAGCAAACAG